Long non-coding RNA from Rhinichthys klamathensis goyatoka, 351 nucleotides. RefSeq lists it as uncharacterized. The transcript has 5 exons. The record is from RefSeq and is a predicted model, not a curated record. Lineage: Eukaryota; Metazoa; Chordata; Actinopteri; Cypriniformes; Leuciscidae.
AAACGAGGAGGUUACAUGUGAAAAUCUCUAUAAAAAGACUGAAAAUAAACAAAACAUUCAGGGAAAUGAGAAAUGCGAGCAGGUUACAUAUGAAAAUCUCUAUGAAAAGACUGAAAUCAAGCAAAACAUGCAGGGAAAUGAGAAAUGCGAGCAGGUUACAUGUGACGAUAUCUACGAAAACAUGACUGGAAAUACACAAAACAUGCAGGGAAAUGAGAAACACAGCAAGGUUGAAGAUCUUUAUGAAAUCAUGACUGGAAAUAAACAAAUCAUUCAGCUGCCUGAAAUGGAUAAUAAAAACAUAUAUGAAUCUAUGGUCAGAAAAGUGAAAUAGUUAUAUAAGCAGACGCA